This 229-nucleotide ribosomal RNA is filed under the name uncultured bacterium. Its description in RNAcentral is "partial 16S ribosomal RNA". It matches the Rfam family "Bacterial small subunit ribosomal RNA", at positions 568 to 796 of the family's 1533-position model. The record is from RNAcentral.
UGCGCAGGUGGGGAUGUAAGUCAGUGGUGAAAUGUUGCCGCUCAACGGUAAAAUUGCCAUUGAUACUGCAUCUCUUGAGUAUGGUUGAGGUAGGCGGAAUGUGUUGUGUAGCGGUGAAAUGCAUAGAUAUGACACAGAACACCGAUUGCGAAGGCAGCUUACUAAGCUAUUACUGACGCUGAGGCACGAAAGCGUGGGGAGCGAACAGGAUUAGAUACCCUGGUAGUCC